Molecule: long non-coding RNA, 206 nt
Filed under: Gorilla gorilla gorilla (western lowland gorilla)
Lineage: Eukaryota; Metazoa; Chordata; Mammalia; Primates; Hominidae
Description: lncRNA (ENSGGOG00000044624.1)
Source: RNAcentral
AAGAAGUCGAACUGGGCAAGGGAAAACCAAAAGAUCUGUGAUCAGAAAAGAUUCCUCAGGCUCUGUUUCUGAGCAGUUACCUUGCAGAGAUGAUGAGAAUGUUGGACCGACGACACAAGACCUCAGACUUGUGUUAUUCUAGCAGCUGAACACACCCCAGGCUCUUCUGACCGGCAGUGGCUCUGGAAGCAGUCUGGUCUAUAGGU